Molecule: non-coding RNA, 88 nt
Organism: Lepidopterella palustris CBS 459.81
Lineage: Eukaryota; Fungi; Ascomycota; Dothideomycetes; Mytilinidiales; Argynnaceae
Source: the annotation of a GenBank genome assembly
GGUUGUGUAGUGUAGUGGUUAUCACUCCAGAUUUUGAUUAAUCUCCAGAAAAAUUCUGGUAACCCCGGUUCGAUCCCGGGCACGACCU